RNAcentral lists this ribosomal RNA (481 nucleotides) under uncultured bacterium. RNAcentral's name for it is "bacterial SSU rRNA". It matches the Rfam family "Bacterial small subunit ribosomal RNA", at positions 1 to 507 of the family's 1533-position model. The record is from RNAcentral.
UAUCGACGAGUUGAUCCUGGCUCAGAUUGAACGCUGGCGGCAUGCCUAACACAUGCAAGUCGAACGGAGAUAGGGGCAACCUUAUUUCAGUGGCGGACGGGUGAGGAAUGCGUCGGAAUCUGCCCUAUGGUGGGGGAUAACACAGGGAAACUUGUGCUAAUACCGCAUAAUGUCGAGAGACCAAAGCAGGGGACCGCAAGGCCUUGCGCGAUAGGAUGAGCCGACGCCCGAUUAGCUUGUUGGUAGGGUAAUGGCCUACCAAGGCGACGAUCUGUAGCGGGUCUGAGAGGAUGAUCCGCCACACUGGGACUGAGACACGGCCCAGACUCCUACGGGAGGCAGCAGGUGGGGAAUAUUGGACAAUGGGCGAAAGCCUGAUCCAGCAAUGCCGCGUGAGUGAUGAAGGCCCUAGGGUUGUAAAGCUCUUUUACCAGGGAUGAUAAUGACAGUACCUGGAGAAUAAGCUCCGGCUAACUCCGUG